This 254-nucleotide ribosomal RNA is filed under the name uncultured bacterium. Its description in RNAcentral is "partial 16S ribosomal RNA". It matches the Rfam family "Bacterial small subunit ribosomal RNA", at positions 524 to 776 of the family's 1533-position model. The record is from RNAcentral.
UACGUAGGGUGCGAGCGUUGUCCGGAAUUAUUGGGCGUAAAGAGCGCGCAGGCGGUCGAUCAAGUCGAGUGUGAAAGCCCCCGGCUCAACUGGGGAGGGUCAUUCGAAACUGGUCGACUCGAAGGCAGGAGAGGGUAGUGGAAUUCCCGGUGUAGUGGUGAAAUGCAUAGAUAUCUGGAGGAACACCUAUGGCGAAGGCAGCUUACUGGACGAUAACUGACGCUGAGGCACGAAAGCGUGGGGGAGCAAAAAGG